UACGGGGGGAGCAAGCGUUGUUCGGAAUCACUGGGCGUAAAGGGUGCGUAGGCGGGUCUUUAAGUCAGGGGUGAAAUCCUGGAGCUCAACUCCAGAACUGCCUUUGAUACUGAAGAUCUUGAGUUCGGGAGAGGUGAGUGGAACUGCGAGUGUAGAGGUGAAAUUCGUAGAUAUUCGCAAGAACACCAGUGGCGAAGGCGGCUCACUGGCCCGAUACUGACGCUGAGGCACGAAAGCGUGGGGAGCAAACAGG
RNAcentral lists this ribosomal RNA (253 nucleotides) under uncultured bacterium. RNAcentral describes it as "partial 16S ribosomal RNA". It matches the Rfam family "Bacterial small subunit ribosomal RNA", at positions 524 to 776 of the family's 1533-position model. The record is from RNAcentral.